RNAcentral lists this ribosomal RNA (482 nucleotides) under uncultured bacterium. RNAcentral's name for it is "bacterial SSU rRNA". It matches the Rfam family "Bacterial small subunit ribosomal RNA", at positions 26 to 507 of the family's 1533-position model. The record is from RNAcentral.
AGGAUGAACGCUGGCGGCGUGCCUAACACAUGCAAGUCGAACGAAGCACUUUUUUACGAUCCCUUCGGGGUGACGAAUUUGUGACUGAGUGGCGGACGGGUGAGUAACGCGUGGGAAACCUGCCUUGUACCGGGGGAUAGCAGUUGGAAACGACUGAUAAUACCGCAUAAGCGCACAGUAUCACAUGAUACAGUGUGAAAAACUCCGGUGGUACAAGAUGGUCCCGCGUCUGAUUAGCUUGUUGGCGGGGCAACGGCCCACCAAGGCGACGAUCAGUAGCCGACCUGAGAGGGUGACCGGCCACAUUGGGACUGAGACACGGCCCAAACUCCUACGGGAGGCAGCAGUGGGGAAUAUUGCACAAUGGAGGAAACUCUGAUGCAGCGACGCCGCGUGAGCGAUGAAGUAUUUCGGUAUGUAAAGCUCUAUCAGCAGGGAAGAUAAUGACGGUACCUGAGUAAGAAGCUCCGGCUAAAUACGUG